RNAcentral lists this ribosomal RNA (393 nucleotides) under uncultured bacterium. RNAcentral's name for it is "partial 16S ribosomal RNA". It matches the Rfam family "Bacterial small subunit ribosomal RNA", at positions 523 to 918 of the family's 1533-position model. The record is from RNAcentral.
AUACGGAGGAUGCGAGCGUUAUCCGGAUUCAUUGGGUUUAAAGGGAGCGUAGGUGGGAUAUUAAGUCAGCUGUGAAAGUUUGGGGCUCAACCUUAAAAUUGCAGUUGAUACUGGUUUCCUUGAGUACGGUAUAGGUGGGCGGAAUUCGUGGUGUAGCGGUGAAAUGCUUAGAUAUCACGAAGAACUCCGAUCGCGAAGGCAGCUCACCGGGCCGGAACUGACACUGAUGCUCGAAAGUGCGGGUAUCAAACAGGAUUAGAUACCCUGGUAGUCCGCACAGUAAACGAUGAAUACUCGCUGUUUGCGAUACACUGUAAGCGGCCAAGCGAAAGCGUUAAGUAUUCCACCUGGGGAGUACGCCGGCAACGGUGAAACUCAAAGGAAUUGACGGGG